This 710-nucleotide ribosomal RNA is filed under the name Nocardia farcinica. Its description in RNAcentral is "bacterial SSU rRNA". It matches the Rfam family "Bacterial small subunit ribosomal RNA", at positions 122 to 844 of the family's 1533-position model. The record is from RNAcentral. Lineage: Bacteria; Bacillati; Actinomycetota; Actinomycetes; Mycobacteriales; Nocardiaceae.
UGAUCUGCCCUGUACUUCGGGAUAAGCCUGGGAAACUGGGUCUAAUACCGGAUAUGACCUUACAUCGCAUGGUGUUUGGUGGAAAGAUUUAUCGGUACAGGAUGGGCCCGCGGCCUAUCAGCUUGUUGGUGGGGUAAUGGCCUACCAAGGCGACGACGGGUAGCCGGCCUGAGAGGGCGACCGGCCACACUGGGACUGAGACACGGCCCAGACUCCUACGGGAGGCAGCAGUGGGGAAUAUUGCACAAUGGGCGAAAGCCUGAUGCAGCGACGCCGCGUGAGGGAUGACGGCCUUCGGGUUGUAAACCUCUUUCGACAGGGACGAAGCGCAAGUGACGGUACCUGUAGAAGAAGCACCGGCCAACUACGUGCCAGCAGCCGCGGUAAUACGUAGGGUGCGAGCGUUGUCCGGAAUUACUGGGCGUAAAGAGCUUGUAGGCGGUUUGUCGCGUCGUCCGUGAAAACUUGGGGCUCAACCCCAAGCUUGCGGGCGAUACGGGCAGACUUGAGUACUGCAGGGGAGACUGGAAUUCCUGGUGUAGCGGUGAAAUGCGCAGAUAUCAGGAGGAACACCGGUGGCGAAGGCGGGUCUCUGGGCAGUAACUGACGCUGAGAAGCGAAAGCGUGGGUAGCGAACAGGAUUAGAUACCCUGGUAGUCCACGCCGUAAACGGUGGGCGCURGGUGUGGGUUUCCUUCCACGGGAUCCGU